Molecule: ribosomal RNA, 467 nt
Filed under: uncultured Planctomycetaceae bacterium
Lineage: Bacteria; Pseudomonadati; Planctomycetota; Planctomycetia; Planctomycetales; Planctomycetaceae
Description: bacterial SSU rRNA
Rfam family: Bacterial small subunit ribosomal RNA
Source: RNAcentral
AAUGAACGUUGGCGGCAUGGAUUAGGCAUGCAAGUCGAGCGAGAAGGGUUUUUUGCUUGCAUUAAACCUGGACAGCGGCGCAAGGGUGAGUAACGAGUAGUUACCUGCCCCAGGGUUUGGGAUAGCCACGGGAAACUGUGGGUAAUACCAAAUAAUAUCUCCGGAUCAAAGGUGAGAUUCCGCCCUGGGAGGGGACUGCUUCCUACUAGCUUGUUGGUGGGGUAAUGGCCUACCAAGGCUCCGAUGGGUAGCGGGCGUGAGAGCGUGGCCCGUCACACUGGGACUGAGACACUGCCCAGACACCUACGGGUGGCUGCAGUCGAGAAUCUUCGGCAAUGGGCGAAAGCCUGACCGAGCAAUGCCGCGUGCGGGAUGAAGGCCCUCGGGUUGUAAACCGCGAAAGUAAGGAGGAAGGGCCCGUGAAGAGCGGGUCUUGACCGAUCUACAGUAAGGACGGGCUAAGUUCG